UGCAGUGUACUGUAGCGGUAAAGAGCAUGGCUCAUAACCAGAAGGUCGCUGGUUCGACUCCCUGCUGGGGCAC
Megalops atlanticus (tarpon) is the source of this 73-nucleotide non-coding RNA. The record is from the annotation of a GenBank genome assembly. Lineage: Eukaryota; Metazoa; Chordata; Actinopteri; Elopiformes; Megalopidae.